ACCCGCUGAAUUUAAGCAUAUAAGUAAGCGGAGGAUAAGAAACUAAAUAGGAUUCCCUUAGUAAUGGCGAAUGAACAGGGAUGAGCUCAAUAUGGAAAUUGUGGCCUCUGGCCUCGAAUUGUAAUCUCAAGAUGUAUUGCCAACGGUGGCGCAGAUGUAAGCCUCUUGGAAAAGAGCAUCAUUGAGGGUGAGAAUCCUGUUUGUCAUCUGCAGUCCUCUGUGUACGGCAUACGUUCUAAGAGUCACGUUCCUCGGGAUUGGAGCGCAAAUUGGGUGGUAAAUUUCAUCUCAAGCUAAAUAUGGGUUCGAAACCGAUAGCAAACAAGUACCAUGAGGGAAAGAUGAAAAGGACUUUGAAAAGAGAGUUAAAAGUGCCUGAACUUGCUGAAAGGAAAGCGGAUGGAACCAGUGUUGCUUGGUGAGAUUGUUGCGCGAUCUAGUGAUUGCUUUCGUUGCUAGCGCAAGCGGUAGCGAUGGUUUUGAUCUUGACUCGCGUGAUGCUUCUUGCCUCGUGUGUCAUCGUCAGUGUGGUGGUGUGGACAACUCUUGGGACAUGGUAGCCUGCCUACGGGUGUGCGAAUGUGCCUUGUAGAACUCACCGCCAUACUGUUCACUCAACGUUGCCUCACUCACUUUAUUGUGGGAUUUGAGGUGCUGUUUAAAGUCGGGGUUCGACUUCUCGUCUCCGACACUCUUUGCAUGCCCGUGGCAACGUUUUUACGGUGACUAAAUGGUUCCAUUCGACCCGUCUUGAAACACGGACCAAGGAGUCUAACAUAUGUGCGAGUUCUUGGGUGGCGAAACCUACGUGCGCAAUGAAAGUGAUUACUGAGAUGCUUGCAUCAGCAGCCGACCGAUCAAUUGGGAGAGGUUUGAGCAUGAGCAUAUCUGUUAGGACCCGAAAGAUGGUGAACUAUGCCUGAGAAGGGUGAAGUCUGGGGAAACUCAGAUGGAGGCUCGUAGCGAUACUGACGUGCAAAUCGUUCGUCAUACUUGGGUAUAGGGGCGAAAGACUAAUCGAACCAUCUAGUAGCUGGUUCCCUCCGA
This 1047-nucleotide ribosomal RNA is filed under the name Dissodinium pseudolunula. RNAcentral describes it as "LSU rRNA". It matches the Rfam family "Eukaryotic large subunit ribosomal RNA", at positions 23 to 964 of the family's 3401-position model. The record is from RNAcentral. Lineage: Eukaryota; Dinophyceae; Gonyaulacales; Pyrocystaceae.